This 395-nucleotide transfer-messenger RNA is filed under the name bovine gut metagenome. It matches the Rfam family "transfer-messenger RNA". Rfam says of the family: Bacterial tmRNA, also known as 10Sa RNA or SsrA, is named for its dual tRNA and mRNA-like properties. Its role is to liberate the mRNA from a stalled ribosome. To accomplish this part of the tmRNA is used as a reading frame that ends in a translation stop signal. The record is from RNAcentral.
GGGGAUGUACUGGUUUUGACGUGGUGAUUGGUAGAUCCGGGUUGCGAGUUCGAGAGCUGUUCUCGGUUAUCAACGAGCAAAACAAAUUAAAUGCUAACGACAACGUUAUCGCAUUCCCUUCUAGAGCAGAAUAUGCUCUUGCUGCCUAAUUAGUGCAGUAGGGACCUCAUAGCCGACCAGCUUGCCGUUUGUUAUGAUGAAAUAUGCAAGACGCAGUACGCAGAUGAUGGUAUGCGUAUCAAGUUUUUCCAUUGGAGGUUAGGCUUCCGCAAAAAGUCUUUGGGUUUGCUUAGGUUUAGUAGCUUUCCUUGCAAAAUCCGAGAGAAUAAGUUACUACACUCGUAGAUAUCAGUUUUUAUCCGCUAUGGACGCGGGUUCGACUCCCGCCAUCUCCA